UACGUAGGGUGCAAGCGUUAAUCGGAAUUACUGGGCGUAAAGCGCGCGCAGGCGGCGAUCUACGUCUGGGGUGAAAGCCCGGAGCUCAACUCUGGGACUGCCUUGGAUACGGGAUCGCUUGAGGAUUGGAGAGGCAAGGGGAAUUCCACGUGUAGCGGUGAAAUGCGUAGAGAUGUGGAGGAACACCAGUGGCGAAGGCGACCACCUGGACUGAUAC
Molecule: ribosomal RNA, 217 nt
Filed under: uncultured prokaryote
Description: partial 16S ribosomal RNA
Rfam family: Bacterial small subunit ribosomal RNA
Source: RNAcentral